This 424-nucleotide ribosomal RNA is filed under the name uncultured bacterium. Its description in RNAcentral is "partial 16S ribosomal RNA". It matches the Rfam family "Bacterial small subunit ribosomal RNA", at positions 359 to 775 of the family's 1533-position model. The record is from RNAcentral.
GAAUUUUGGACAAUGGGCGAAAGCCUGAUCCAGCAAUGCCGCGUGCAGGAUGAAGGCCUUCGGGUUGUAAACUGCUUUUGUACGGAACGAAAAGCUUUGGGUUAAUACCCUGGAGUCAUGACGGUACCGUAAGAAUAAGCAACGGCUAACUACGUGCGAGCACCCGCGGUAAUACGUAGGGUGCGAGCGUUAAACGGAAGUAGUGGGCGUAAAGCGUGCGCAGGCGGUUUUGUAAGACAGAGGGGAAAUCCCCGGGCUCAACCUGGGAACAGCCUUUGUGACUGCAUGGCUAGAGUACGGCAGAGGGGGGUGGAAUUCCGCGUGUAGCAGUGAAAUGCGUAGAUAUGCGGAGGAACACCGAUGGCGAAGGCAACCCCCUGGGUCUGUACUGACGCUCAUGCACGAAAGCGUGGGGAGCAAACAG